Molecule: ribosomal RNA, 406 nt
Filed under: uncultured bacterium
Lineage: Bacteria
Description: partial 16S ribosomal RNA
Rfam family: Bacterial small subunit ribosomal RNA
Source: RNAcentral
AUUGAACGCUGGCGGCAGGCCUAACACAUGCAAGUCGAGCGAGCGGCGGACGGGGGAGGAAUGUCUGGGAAACUGCCCGAUGGAGGGGGAUAACUACUGGAAACGGUAGCUAAUACCGCAUACCAUCAGAUGUACCCAUAUGGGAUUGGCUAGGAGGUGAGGUAAUGGCUCACCUGGGCGACGAUCCCUAGCUGGUCUGAGAGGAUGAUCAGCCACACUGGAACUGAGACACGGCCCAGACUCCUACGGGAGGCAGCAGUGGGGAAUAUUGCACAAUGGGCGCAAGCCUGAUGCAGCCAUGCCGCGUGUAUGAAGAAGGCCUUAGGGUUGUAAAGUACUUUCAGUAGGGAGGCGUUACCGACAGAAGAAGCACCGGCUAACUCCGUGCCAGCAGCCGCGGUAAUAC